UGACGUUUCAGAUUUUCAUGCUGCCUUAGAAACCACAAUAUAUGUAUGAAGGAAGCUACAGGAAGAAAAACGUAAUGAGGCAGCUGCUAAAUUGGAACUAAAAAAAGAUUCCACACCACAAAAUGUCCAGGAUCCAUGAACAAUCCUGAGAGAAAAAACUGUGACCAUAAGCUCCUGAGUCAGGGACCUCAAAGGCUUAUAAGGAGCACCCAGGGAUACUCAGAAGUCAUCUUCCUCUAUUAGCUCAUGACAAGAAAAGCGGACCGUUUCUAUUCAAAAGGCCUUGAUGGAAAUCUCCAGAUGCCCCUGCCAAGUCUUUUGCAUUAAC
Molecule: long non-coding RNA, 328 nt
Organism: Hippopotamus amphibius kiboko
Lineage: Eukaryota; Metazoa; Chordata; Mammalia; Artiodactyla; Hippopotamidae
Exons: 3
Source: RefSeq, a predicted model, not a curated record